RNAcentral lists this ribosomal RNA (293 nucleotides) under uncultured bacterium. RNAcentral's name for it is "partial 16S ribosomal RNA". It matches the Rfam family "Bacterial small subunit ribosomal RNA", at positions 775 to 1067 of the family's 1533-position model. The record is from RNAcentral.
GGAUUAGAUACCCUGGUAGUCCACGCCGUAAACGAUGUCUACUAGCCGUAGGGUUCCUUGAGGACUUUGUGGCGCAGCUAACGCAAUAAGUAGACCGCCUGGGGAGUACGGCCGCAAGGUUAAAACUCAAAUGAAUUGACGGGGGCCCGCACAAGCGGUGGAGCAUGUGGUUUAAUUCGAAGCAACGCGAAGAACCUUACCAGGGCUUGACAUCCUCGGAACUUUCCAGAGAUGGAUUGGUGCCUUCGGGAACCGAGUGACAGGUGCUGCAUGGCUGUCGUCAGCUCGUGCCG